RNAcentral lists this ribosomal RNA (342 nucleotides) under uncultured bacterium. Its description in RNAcentral is "bacterial SSU rRNA". It matches the Rfam family "Bacterial small subunit ribosomal RNA", at positions 8 to 334 of the family's 1533-position model. The record is from RNAcentral.
AGAGUUUGAUUAUGGCUCAGGAUGAACGCUGGCGGCGUGCCUAACACAUGCAAGUCGAACGAAGCGCCUUAAGAGAUUCUUCGGAUGAUCUUUUGGUGACUGAGUGGCGGACGGGUGAGUAACGCGUGGGUAACCUGCCCUGUACAGGGGGAUAACAGCCAGAAAUGGCUGCUAAUACCGCAUAAGCGCACAGGAAGACAUCUUCCGGUGUGAAAAACUCCGGUGGUACAGGAUGGGCCCGCGUCUGAUUAGCUGGUUGGCGGGGUAAUGGCCCACCAAGGCAACGAUCAGUAGCCGGUCUGAGAGGAUGAACGGCCACAUUGGAACUGAGACACGGUCCAA